UACAGAGGGUGCGAGCGUUUAAUCGGAAUUACUGGGCGUAAAGCGUGCGUAGACGGUUACAUAAGUCGGGUGUGAAAGCCCCGGGCUCAACCUGGGAAUUGCAUUCGAGACUGCGUAGCUAGGGUGCGGAAGAGGGAAGCGGAAUUUCCGGUGUAGCGGUGAAAUGCGUAGAUAGUCGGAAGGAACACCAGUGGCGAAAGCGGCUCCUGGUCCAGCACCGACGUUCA
Molecule: ribosomal RNA, 227 nt
Filed under: uncultured bacterium
Lineage: Bacteria
Description: partial 16S ribosomal RNA
Rfam family: Bacterial small subunit ribosomal RNA
Source: RNAcentral